GGAUAUCAGACCCGUGUAUGUUCAAGUGUAGGUUCCAGGGCAGUUUCCACUAUCUAGAAGGACUAUCUGGCAUAUUGUGCACAGCACUUUAACAGCAUCGACUUUUAGGAGCUGAAAUAGCUCAGUUGGAAUCCCAUCACCGCCACUAGCUUUGUAUGUACUAAUGCUUCCUAAGACCCACUUGACUUCACAUUCCAGGAUGUCUGGCUCUAGGUCAUUGUGAGUGAUCACACCGUCAUGAUUAUCUG
Molecule: long non-coding RNA, 248 nt
Organism: Cervus elaphus (red deer)
Lineage: Eukaryota; Metazoa; Chordata; Mammalia; Artiodactyla; Cervidae
Exons: 3
Source: RefSeq, a predicted model, not a curated record